This 1713-nucleotide long non-coding RNA is filed under the name Canis lupus familiaris (dog). RNAcentral's name for it is "lncRNA (ENSCAFG00000053411.1)". The record is from RNAcentral. Lineage: Eukaryota; Metazoa; Chordata; Mammalia; Carnivora; Canidae.
UUUUUUUUUUUUUUUUAAUUUGAAAUACUUGACACUUGCUCCAGAUAAACCACAAGACCAAGAUGAAGUUCAUCCUUAGGACAACUAUUCAAGGAAAUGUAAGGUUCUAUAUAGAGAAGAGAGAUACUUAAUUGAGACAUUUGUGGAGAAAUAAGAUCAUGGUCUUCUCCUUAGACUUUAAGAUCCCUUAUGAAGGAAUAAAAAUCUUUGUUGUAUUAAAUUCAUAGGAAUACAUGUGCAUGCACAUACAUUAUGUCAUGUACACUCAUAAAUCUACAAAAACACACACACUAUGAAUUACUUCCUUUCAAUUUUGGUUUUGAAGUCUCAUCUGCAGCAAAAUAUUUUUUAAAAGGCAGAGUAGACCUCAUUUUGCUGUAUACUAAGAUAUAUUGACAAGCCAUCUCUGUUAUUUUUCAUAUGCCCUUAAAAGUCCUAUCCUAAAACCAGAACAGUGGAUCACUCCAUCCAGAAGGUAUUUUUUUGGUUAACAGGCCCGUGCAAAUGAUGUCAACUCUACUGUAAGGAGCAGAGUAGGCAGGAGAGGUAAUGACUAUUGCUACCUCCUCGCCCCAUCUCCACCCUCUUGGUUAUAGUUAUGUUGGUGCAUUUUUACAGACUGUAGCAUGCAUUUUUCCAGAUUUAUGUUCUUCCAGAUUUCUGCAUUUUAAUUGGGAAAAUAGAAAUAAGAGUAGAGAAUAGAGGGUGAAAAUCACCAAGGUUAUAAUUACCGAAAAGGAAAAACUUCUGGGAUAUAGUUGUCUGUUAAACUCUGGAUUAAUAAGUCCCUAACCAGUGAAAAACCUCAAUAAAUGUUCAUCAAUGCUAACAGGACAAGGAUUUAGUAGAAGAAUUAAAUGUAAUAAAGUUUCGUGCAUAACCAAGGACAGAAACAGUUCUACAUUUUGUUUAUAUGAAAAUUUGCCCUGUAAGAAGUGUGUGUGUGAUGGUAGCAGGGCCCCCCAUCAAGUGCCAAAGACCCAGUUACUGCCCUGAACAAACUGAGAUCCCAGGAGGCCAAGUCAUUUGGGCUUUGGAUUACUCAUUUGUAACAUGAAAGAACUGAACUAAAUUAUCUGAUAUAAUUUCUACAUAUAAUGAUUUGAUUUUGUAAUUCAUAUCCUAGAGUUAUAUUUCCAGAAUGACCCACAUUGUUUUGAUGAAGAGGUCAAUGAUAGUAGGGGGCCAGCCCCUAAUUACACCUUCAAAAAUAAGAGAGGCUGUACUCUUUUUAAUCACAUGCAGUCCAUUUGGGGUGUGUCAUAUAAAUACCACAGAUAACACAGAAAGAGCCUAUUACCUCUAACUCUCUGGGCACUUCCCACUGUUCCCAAUGGGAAUAACAAUGGGGGACCCAGAGCCCACUGCUUAUGUGAAUCCCUGCUUUAGGGGUCACAGUUCAAUUGCAUCUUUAUCAUGUGAAGCUAAACUGAAAUUAGAUAGAAAAUAACAUAUAACAGAGGUAAAUUAAUGCCAAGUUUGCUCUUUUUGAAUACAAUCAAUACUUUUAUUCUAAUAAUUUUAAAGUUGUUAAGUUGAAUUAAAAUUAUUUCUUUACCAGAAAGCUGGCGUGAAGAAAACCCCAAAAUCCAGGAACUUAAAACCAUUCUUCUCUAUGUGGUUCAUAUCAUGGCACACACAGAACAGGUUAGAAGCUGAAAAUCUAGCCACCCAAAGAUAUACCAUUAUUUUAUGUGCCACUAAGAAAGAAAA